GUGCUCACUUCAGCAGCACAUAUACUAAAAUUGGAACGAUACAGAGAAGAUUAGCAUGGCCCCUGCACAAGGAUGACAUGCAAAUUCGUGGAGCAUUCCAUAUUUUA
Small nuclear RNA from Tupaia belangeri (northern tree shrew), 107 nucleotides. NCBI's taxonomy places the organism in Eukaryota, Metazoa, Chordata, Mammalia, Scandentia, Tupaiidae. The record is from Ensembl.